RNAcentral lists this ribosomal RNA (509 nucleotides) under uncultured bacterium. RNAcentral describes it as "partial 16S ribosomal RNA". The stretch from base 20 to 328 matches the Rfam family "Bacterial small subunit ribosomal RNA", at positions 47 to 358 of the family's 1533-position model. The record is from RNAcentral.
GACGAACGCUGGCGGCGUGCUUAACACAUGCAAGUCGAACGGAAAGGCCCUGCUUUUGUGGGGUGCUCGAGUGGCGAACGGGUGAGUAACACGUGAGUAACCUGCCCUUGACUUUGGGAUAACUUCAGGAAACUGGGGCUAAUACCGGAUAGGAGCUCCUGCUGCAUGGUGGGGGUUGGAAAGUUUCGGCGGUUGGGGAUGGACUCGCGGCUUAUCAGCUUGUUGGUGGGGUAGUGGCUUACCAAGGCUUUGACGGGUAGCCGGCCUGAGAGGGUGACCGGCGAGAUAUGGACAGGGAUCAGACCGAGCUCGAGAGGGGAGGAGGGAGGGGUGAUUAGGGCACGGGGGGCGGAAGCAUGAGGAAGGAGGACGGGGGGGGGGGGGACGGCCUCGGGUUGGUCAACGGUUGUGUCGGGAGGGGAGGGGUAGGUGGUGGUGAGGGGAAAGGAAGCGCAGGCUACCUACGUGCCGGCGGCGGUGGUAAUGGGAGGAAGAGCACACUUCUAAAC